RNAcentral lists this ribosomal RNA (253 nucleotides) under uncultured bacterium. RNAcentral's name for it is "partial 16S ribosomal RNA". It matches the Rfam family "Bacterial small subunit ribosomal RNA", at positions 524 to 776 of the family's 1533-position model. The record is from RNAcentral.
UACGGGGGGGGCAAGCGUUGUUCGGAAUUACUGGGCGUAAAGGGCUCGUAGGCGGCCAACUAAGUCGGACGUGAAAUCCCUCGGCUUAACCGGGGAACUGCGUCCGAUACUGGAUGGCUUGAGUUCGGGAGAGGGAUGCGGAAUUCCAGGUGUAGCGGUGAAAUGCGUAGAUAUCUGGAGGAACACCGGUGGCGAAGGCGGCAUCCUGGACCGACACUGACGCUGAGGAGCGAAAGUGUGGGGAGCGAACAGG